RNAcentral lists this unclassified non-coding RNA (415 nucleotides) under uncultured Ophiostomataceae. RNAcentral describes it as "sequence contains ITS1". The stretch from base 1 to 105 matches the Rfam family "5.8S ribosomal RNA", at positions 50 to 154 of the family's 154-position model. Lineage: Eukaryota; Fungi; Ascomycota; Sordariomycetes; Ophiostomatales. The record is from RNAcentral.
GAAAUGCGAUAAGAAAUGUGAAUUGCAGAAUUCCGCGAAUCAUUAAAUCUUUGAGCGCACAUUGCGCUCCCGGGUACUCCCGAGAGCAUGUCUGCUUGAGAAUCAGUUUAACCUCUCACGUUGUUUAAAUCUUUAUUUUUAAAUAACGUGGACUUGGGACUAUUCUUUAGGCAAGAGAAGAAAGACCUUUAAUCUAAAUUUGACCUUUAGACAUUGCUAAGUUUUAGCGCUUUACACCUAGAAGGCAUGACCAAUGGCAAAGAGGGAAACUUCUUGAGCUUUAGACUGCUGAUAACAGGUUAGUUAAUUUUUGGGCAUAACUUGAAGUGUCGCAACUUAAAACCACACACGGUAAGCGUAAAAAACUUUUCAAGACUUUGAUCUCAAAUCAGACAAGACUACCCGCUGAACUUGA